AUUGUGACCUCUGCUUCUGUAUUCACAUCAUCGCUGACCCUGACUCUCCUAUCUUCCUCUUUCACAUUUUAAGGUCCUUUGUGAUUAUAUUAGAUGCACACAGAUAAUAAUCUUUCCAUCUCAUGAUCUUCAGUUAAAUCACAGUUGCCAAAUUCCGUUUGCUGUGUAAAAUAAUAUAUUCGCAGAGUCAGAGGAUUUUCACGUGGACAUCUUUGAGAAGCUGUUUUUCUGCCUACCCCAAAAAGAUUGGGUUAAUUCAAGAGAGCAGGCAAAACACAUACAAAGUAAAAUAUAUUUACGAAAGUGUUUUUGGAGAUACUUCCUUUUAGCAAUGUCAGACCAGAUGUUUCAGCCCAAACACUCUAUCAAGAAAAACUCUGAAAGAUGGAAAAUAUAGAAGACAUCGUUUUAAGUUAUCAUAAACCCAAAUAAGCAACAUUGAAGAGACAAGAUCUCAAGUAAAAGAAUAGAAAAAGGGGUGAGAAGCAAAUUUGGUACUUUUUUCCCCACAAGAUAUCCCUCCUCAAAUGAGAAGUUUGAAAUCAAGUUUCUAAGCAGAAAGGUGUAGCUGAGAAACAAGGCGAAUGAGUGAUAUUUCCAGCAGACUCACCAGCCCAUGAGACACAGAGAGAAUUCCAGUCCCCGCCCCGCCACCCCCAAGGAGGAGAGGAUAUGGAAAUACAAGACUUCAUUAGAUGUAGACUUGAGGAACUAUGUCCUAAGUGUCCUUAUGAAUAAGAAAUAGAAAACUACUCACAAAACCAAACACCUAGCUUCAAAAAGACUCAAAUCUUGAUUGCAAUGAGAUGAAUUGCCCCCAUCUUAAUGGCCUGUUGGAAGCAAAAUAAAAUGUUCCCUGGAGGAAGAUAAAAUCACCUAGAGCUUCCAAUUAUUUUACAGUAAUCAUACACAAAUUUUCGCAAACAAUAAAAAAAUCACAUUUGCAAAAUUUGAAUGGUACAGAAAGAGCUUCAAGCCUGUGAUCUAUAUUCUCCAUUUACUGGGGAUGUCUUCAAAAAAAGAACUCAGAACCAUACAAUUCAGAGCAACAAUGAAAUACAACUGCACACCUAUUAGAAGAGCUAUGGUUAAAAAGACUAUACUAACCGUACCAAGUGCAUGCAAGGAUGUAGAGCUACUGUGACUUUCAUUUACUGCUGGUAUUAUGGAAAACAGUAUAAUCACAUUGCAAAAUAUUUUGACAUAUUCCAAAAUAAACUAAAAUGUAUGAAGCAUGUAAUGCAGCCAUUUCAUUCUUUAAUGCUAAUUCAAGAAAAAUAUAUUUAUAUUUGUAUAUCCUUAAAUGCAUGUUAAUAAUUCCAUUUUCUCAACAGUCCAAUACUUCAAGAUAAUCUGAAUACUAACAUUAGUUUACAUUAACACACACAUAUAGAUACAUACAUAUACAUAUUUAUAUGUAUAUGUGUGUAUAAACUAUUAAUACUUUCACUUAUGUUAUAUAUAUUGCCUGGUAGCAAUUUGAUUCUGAUAGGUAUGACAUAUAAAUCAUUUUCCACAUAAAAAUACUUCGCCAAAGCAAAAUAUUGUGUAAGAACAGUAGAUAUAAAAUAAAAUAUUUUGUGAUAGUUAAUACAGUGUCAGUGUCACUUCAUUAUUUUUACCAUGAGAUUUUAACUAUUUUCAUACUCUCAUCCAAGUAAACAUUAGCUUCAAAUCAGCAAUUAUAUUAACAAACGUUUUUACUUUUGUUUGUGAGUAUGCUUAAAUUCUUUUAAUUUGUAUAUUAUCUGUCCAGAGACUUUCAUAUAUUUUAAUAGGAAAUAAAAGAUAGAUUUGGGCUACACUUAAUGCAGGUUUUUUUGCUUCUGAUUUUUGUUAUUAUCAACAAAAAUCAUCCUUUUUUAAACACAUAUGGAAACAUAUAUCGAAUAAUU
Molecule: long non-coding RNA, 1895 nt
Filed under: Homo sapiens (human)
Lineage: Eukaryota; Metazoa; Chordata; Mammalia; Primates; Hominidae
Description: HSALNT0407196
Source: RNAcentral